This 244-nucleotide ribosomal RNA is filed under the name uncultured Staphylococcus sp. RNAcentral's name for it is "partial 16S ribosomal RNA". It matches the Rfam family "Bacterial small subunit ribosomal RNA", at positions 96 to 334 of the family's 1533-position model. The record is from RNAcentral. Lineage: Bacteria; Bacillati; Bacillota; Bacilli; Caryophanales; Staphylococcaceae.
CGGCGGACGGGUGAGUAACACGUGGAUAACCUACCUAUAAGACUUGGAUAACUUCGGGAAACCGGAGCUAAUACCGGAUAAUAUAUUGAACCGCAUGGUUCAAUAGUGAAAGACGGUUUUGCUGUCACUUAUAGAUGGAUCCGCGCCGCAUUAGCUAGUUGGUAAGGUAACGGCUUACCAAGGCAACGAUACGUAGCCGACCUGAGAGGGUGAUCGGCCACACUGGAACUGAGACACGGUCCAG